RNAcentral lists this ribosomal RNA (498 nucleotides) under uncultured bacterium. RNAcentral's name for it is "bacterial SSU rRNA". It matches the Rfam family "Bacterial small subunit ribosomal RNA", at positions 28 to 513 of the family's 1533-position model. The record is from RNAcentral.
GAUGAACGCUAGCUACAGGCUUAACACAUGCAAGUCGAGGGGCAGCGGGAUUGAAGCUUGCUUCAAUUGCCGGCGACCGGCGCACGGGUGAGUAACGCGUAUCCAACCUUCCGUACACUCAGGGAUAGCCUUUCGAAAGAAAGAUUAAUACCUGAUGGUAUGAUGAGAUUGCAUGAUAGCAUCAUUAAAGAUUUAUCGGUGUACGAUGGGGAUGCGUUCCAUUAGGUAGUAGGCGGGGUAACGGCCCACCUAGCCUACGAUGGAUAGGGGUUCUGAGAGGAAGGCCCCCCCACAUUGGAACUGAGACACGGUCCAAACUCCUACGGGAGGCAGCAGUGAGGAAUAUUGGUCAAUGGGACGAGAGUCUGAACCAGCCAAGUAGCGUGAAGGAUGAAGGUCUUACGGAUUGUAAACUUCUUUUAUAAGGGAAUAAACCCUCCCACGUGUGGGAGCUUGUAUGUACCUUAUGAAUAAGCAUCGGCUAACUCCGUGCCAGCA